This is a non-coding RNA of Pelobates cultripes (western spadefoot toad), 379 nucleotides long. The record is from the annotation of a GenBank genome assembly. Lineage: Eukaryota; Metazoa; Chordata; Amphibia; Anura; Pelobatidae.
CUCCACCCAAAAGUCUUAGUAUUAAUGGCCAUAUUUCUUUCCAUACACAUCCCAGUCGCCAUAGUACAUGCCCUAAAUUAGAUAGCAGUCAAAGCUAUGCAUCUCUAUUUGUCAACUUACACACAUUUGCACUGGCACAAAGCACAUUCUAUAACAUCGAUUACCAAUCAUGACAGCACAAACCUAAACAAAAUCACUCCCAUGCCAUGACAUGCCUUUUCUUUCCUCUUCUGUGCCACAGUUUGCCUAUACACAGAGGCCCAUGAGGCUAACCCAUGGAUAGGACUGGCACUCAUAUUCUGAUUUGUUUUAAUUUGAUUUUUCUCAAUAGUAUAACAGCUUGUUGUCUAAAUGGGGUAAUCUACACACAUGAACUAAG